RNAcentral lists this ribosomal RNA (336 nucleotides) under uncultured bacterium. Its description in RNAcentral is "bacterial SSU rRNA". It matches the Rfam family "Bacterial small subunit ribosomal RNA", at positions 72 to 422 of the family's 1533-position model. The record is from RNAcentral.
AAGUGGAGCAAUCCAUGAGUACAGUGGCGUACGGGUGAGUAACACGUGACUAACCUACCCUCGAGUGGGGAAUAACCUCGGGAAACCGGGGCUAAUACCGCAUAACAUCUACGGAUCAAAUGCGCAAGCAGCUUGAGGAGGGGGUCGCGGCCGAUUAGCUAGUUGGCGGGGUAAUGGCCCACCAAGGCAAUGAUCGGUAGCCGGCCUGAGAGGGCGCACGGCCACACUGGAACUGAAACACGGUCCAGACUCCUACGGGAGGCAGCAGUGGGGAAUUUUGCGCAAUGGGGGAAACCCUGACGCAGCAACGCCGCGUGGAGGAUGAAGCCCCUUGGG